UGGGCAACUGGUCGACUUUUCAUCUGCACAGUUUUUGAUGAAUCCUUUUAUGAUCUACUAACCGACCUGAACCCGAUGUUUCCAUCUCAAUGUGAGAUUCAGCAGAGUUGAAGCAUUUGAAAUUCUAGUACAUUGGGAUAUAGUAGCAGCCUAAAACAUGGGCCAUAAAGAUCCAGGGUUUAUGAGUUGUGACAUAAAACUGCAGGGAAGAUUCAUAAAAACGAGGGACGGGGAAAAACAUACCAUAGAGGAGAGAAACACAGUCGUUAUGGAUUGUCUCUCACAUAAAGAAAAAGGGUUUCAGGAAUCUAUCUGGCCUCCAGGGAGGCGAGGAUAGCAGACAUGUCCCAAAUCUUGAUAGCAGAUUGUAUAGCAACUCUUCAGGAAGUCUGUGUGAAUGAGAAAUGGACUGAAGGUUUCCAACUAUGCAGUAAGAGAGAAGAGUGGGGUCAAACACGUCAGUCCUCAGCAUGAUCUCACAGCCCUCACCUGCUGCCCAGCGUGAGGUUUUCAAGAUGUAUCAAACAUGUUGCCUGAUAAAACCCUAUGUGAUCUCUUAACAUCCUUUACAUUCUGAGCAUCAAGCUCGAGAACUCAACAAAAAGCAUUAUAUGAAAGCCAGCUGCAGACACGCUGAUAUCAGAGAAGAAGUGCAAGUAGAGGUGGUUUGACGUGCUGUUCAGCAAUGCUGGUACUGUGGUUCCUAAAAACAAAGAACAAAAAUGCAUAAAAUAUUUAGACAGAAAAUAAUAUUUGUUUACUGCUUUACAUACUGAAGUGGUCUUUUCUUUGGACUGUUCUAUGAGAUGAAACAAAGUUUAUUGAAGCUCUCUCAGGCUUAGGCAGUUUACCACUCAGCUAUUCAGUCUGUGUGAAGAUACAUUACAUUUUCUGGCUCAAAUUUAUGCUGCAUCAAUCUUUACUUUAUGUGUAUCUGUAUACUAUCUCUUACAGAAUCAUGAGUAUCAUAUAUAAAGUAGU
Hyla sarda is the source of this 981-nucleotide long non-coding RNA. RefSeq lists it as uncharacterized. NCBI's taxonomy places the organism in Eukaryota, Metazoa, Chordata, Amphibia, Anura, Hylidae. The transcript is spliced from 6 exons. The record is from RefSeq and is a predicted model, not a curated record.